CGGGAUAUGGCGCAGUUUGGUAGCGCGCCUCGUUCGGGACGAGGAGGUCGCAGGUUCAAAUCCUGUUAUCCCGACCA
RNAcentral lists this transfer RNA (77 nucleotides) under Brevibacterium paucivorans. RNAcentral's name for it is "tRNA-Pro". It matches the Rfam family "tRNA". Rfam says of the family: Transfer RNA (tRNA) molecules are approximately 80 nucleotides in length. Their secondary structure includes four short double-helical elements and three loops (D, anti-codon, and T loops). The record is from RNAcentral. RNAcentral also lists the same sequence under 6 other names. Lineage: Bacteria; Bacillati; Actinomycetota; Actinomycetes; Micrococcales; Brevibacteriaceae.